AACCAUUAGAAAGGAAGAGAAAAAGUUAUUCUCUCUUCUCGGUUUUCGUCCAUUUCUGCACACCCAUUUUCUUUGCAUCAUAUCUCCUUCGUUUCUUAUCCGAAUUGAGCAAGUGAGUAGUCAAAAUCUAUCUACUAGGAAAGAUCUUGCUUGUGGUAUAAUUUGUUUUUGAAGAAAGGGGAAUACGCGACUGCAGUUUUCGUUGCAAUCAGACGAGUCAUCCGGUUUUGUUCCCUGUCGCACCUUUACGAAACUAACCGUAGCCGGAGAUCUAACCGUUGGAUAGUCUUCAAAUUUGGACAGAACGUUUAUGACAUCUUGUUCUUCACUUUGACCGGAGCGAUUUGGAUUGCGAGCUUUUGAUCACCGCGAAUCAUAGUCGGAACAGAGAAGUGCAAAAUAAGAGUUUUCAACAUUCAAGGAAAAGAUGGUGACGCUGUUUAGAGUGGUUCUAGUCUGGCUCGGAGGUGUGUGUGUUCCCCGUGUGAGCAAAGAAAGGGAGCUUGUCCUAGUGGAUGAGUAUUUCAAUCUGGACUCAGGAUUAGAUACUUAGUUGCUUUAAGUAGCUAAUUCUAGUUUUGACUUAUGUAUUGGAACCAUGGAUUUCAGUUGUCAUAGUUUUCUUUACUCUAUGAUUUUGAGGUUUACUUGUGUGGUUGUAUGACUCUUGAGACUUAUUGGAGAUGAGGGUAUGGGACCUCAUUUUCCCUUUUGAUUAUAUGUACUGGAGUUGACUUUUCC
Molecule: long non-coding RNA, 741 nt
Organism: Beta vulgaris subsp. vulgaris (sugar beet)
Lineage: Eukaryota; Viridiplantae; Streptophyta; Magnoliopsida; Caryophyllales; Amaranthaceae
Exons: 2
Source: RefSeq, a predicted model, not a curated record